Long non-coding RNA from Manihot esculenta (cassava), 472 nucleotides. RefSeq lists it as uncharacterized. The transcript is spliced from 3 exons. The record is from RefSeq and is a predicted model, not a curated record. Lineage: Eukaryota; Viridiplantae; Streptophyta; Magnoliopsida; Malpighiales; Euphorbiaceae.
UUUCACCCAUGCACAAUCUGUUCUUAGGUGUUCUAACCAGCAAAGGAACCAUAGAAAGAAAGGAAAGAAGAAGAGAAGUUAAGGUGCUUAAGUGAACAAACUCAAAGGGAGGAAGGUACAUCAAAGGGGAAAGGCAAGGAAAAAGAGUAACUAAGGUGUACCUAAAGAUUUUGAAAAGAAUUGACAAAAGGUAAUAAAUAGAGGAAGCAACAGUUAGGAGGUCUGGUUCUGCAUCAGCACAGAGACAUCAUCAUAACCAGUUGUUCACAAGAUUUGUUCAGAGGUUGUUUAUGUUUGGCAUGUACAUUAAUAGUCUACCAAGAGUCUGUAAAUGAGUAUUGUAAAUAGUAUGAAUAUAACCAAAUGUGUUUACUAUUUUAAGUUAUUAUAUUCUAUUUGUGGUUUUAAUAGUGUGAAAUGAGUAAAUAUUGAAAUUUUAUGACUAGUUUUCACAGGGAUAAUUGCUAAUAAA